Phytophthora infestans T30-4 is the source of this 73-nucleotide transfer RNA. It matches the Rfam family "tRNA". Rfam says of the family: Transfer RNA (tRNA) molecules are approximately 80 nucleotides in length. Lineage: Eukaryota; Oomycota; Peronosporomycetes; Peronosporales; Peronosporaceae. The record is from Rfam.
GGGGAUGUAGCUCAAAUGGUAGAGCGCUCGCUUAGCAUGCGAGAGGUACAGGGAUCUAUACCCUGCUUCUCCA